GCCAGGCGUUGUGGCAGGCGCCUGUGGUCCCAGCUACUUGGGAGGCUGAGGCAGGAGACUCGCUUGAGCCCAGGAGUUGGAGGUUGCUGUGAGCGUGAUGCCAUGGCACUCUACCCAGGGGAAUAGCUUGAGGCUCUGUCUCAAAAAAAAAAAAAAAAAGAGACAGUCUCAGUAUGUCGCCCUCAGUAGAGUGCUAUGGUGUCAUAGCUCACAGUAACCUCAAACUCUUGGGCUUAAGCAGUUCUCUUGCCU
Molecule: small RNA, 252 nt
Filed under: Otolemur garnettii (small-eared galago)
Lineage: Eukaryota; Metazoa; Chordata; Mammalia; Primates; Galagidae
Description: Metazoan signal recognition particle RNA (ENSOGAG00000034426.1)
Source: RNAcentral